AGGAGGAGGGGGCGCGCGGCUGGGCACAAAGAGCGCUGAGCAUCCAGAGAGAGGAGGCUGGCGGACGGAGAGGAGAGGAGAGGACAACAACGGGGACCUAACGGAGAGCAUCCUCGAUCCAUUUCUGCUCCACGCUCACUCUAUCAGUGUUAUUGAUUAAAGGAAUCUCUAACACCGUUCAUCGACCCCCCUCCAAAAAAAAGGACUUGUCCAGCAACAGCUGCUCCUCUCCACAAAUACCUGCUCCUGAUCUGUUCACCCCCACCCUCAGCCCCAGCAGCCAUCACCUCCACUUUGUACCCAUGAAGGAAGCCGACGCCAUCAAGUUGUUCGUGGGGCAGAUUCCUCGGAAUCUGGAGGAGAAGGACCUCAAACCCAUUUUCGAGCAGUUUGGCAAGAUCUACGAGCUCACGGUGAUUAAGGAUAAAUACACUGGGAUGCACAAAGGAUGCGCGUUUCUGACGUACUGCGCAAGAGAGUCGGCCCUGAAAGCCCAGAGCGCUCUCCAUGAGCAGAAAACACUACCAGGGAUGAAUCGCCCAAUCCAGGUCAAACCGGCUGACAGUGAAGGACGAGGAGAGGACAGAAAGCUGUUUGUGGGCAUGCUUGGGAAGCAGCAGAGUGAUGAAGAUGUCAGAAGGCUGUUUGAGCCCUUUGGCAGCAUAGAGGAGUGCACUGUUUUAAGAGGACCAGAUGGAACCAGCAAAGGGUGUGCUUUUGUUAAGUUCCAGGGACAUGCCGAAGCCCAAGCAGCAAUCAACAGCUUGCACGGGAGCCGUACAAUGCCUGGAGCAUCGUCCAGUCUGGUGGUGAAGUUUGCCGACACGGAGAAGGAGCGGGGGCUGAGGAGGAUGCAGCAAGUGGCCUCUCAGCUCGGCAUCUUCAGCCCCAUGACCCUUAACUUUCCUGCCUACAAUGCCUACACGCAGGCGGUCAACGCACAGCUUGUCCAACAGCAGGCCCUGGUCGCCCAGUCAGCGUACUUGUCUCCUGUAGCAACAGUUGCUGCAGUACAGAUGCAGCAGAUGGCGGCACUCAAUGCCAACGGAAUCAUCGCAACACCCAUUACACCCAUUACACCGUCCUCGGGUACAAACACUCCACCAACUAUAGCAGCGACACCUGUGACAGCUAUCCCCCCACCAAUGGGAGUAAAUGGUUACAGCAGUGUGCCAGCCCCCACCAAUGGACAGCAAACAGAAGCACUGUAUACCAAUGGGGUUCACCCAUACCAAGCCCAGAGUCCAGCUGCAGCUCUGGAUCCUCUUCAGCAAGCCUAUGCAGGCAUGCAGCACUACACAGCGGCGUACCCUGCUGCUUACGGAUUGGUUGGGCAGCCGUUUCCCCAGCAGCCAACACUGGUUGCUCAGCAACACCAGCAGCCCCAGCAACAGCAGCAAAGAGAAGGUCCAGAAGGGUGUAACAUCUUCAUCUACCACCUGCCACAAGAGUUCAGUGACUCUGAGAUGCUGCAGAUGUUCCUGCCCUUUGGCAAUGUCAUAUCGGCUAAAGUGUUUGUGGACCGAGCCACCAACCAGAGCAAAUGUUUCGGAUUUGUGAGUUUUGACAACCCUGCCAGCGCACAGGCCGCUAUCCAGGCAAUGAAUGGCUUUCAGAUCGGAAUGAAAAGACUCAAAGUGCAGCUCAAAAGGCCCAAAGACGCCAACCGACCAUACUGAGCAACAAUGGAGAAGAGGAAGAACAAAUAGAGAGAUCCUCCCGUCAAAUCAUAAUUCACGAGGACCCCAUCGCUAUGGCAAUGGUUGCCUAGUGACCGAUAAAGCCCUGAUCCCCCCUUCCUCUCACAUUGUUGUGACUAAGAGUCCAGCUGAAGGUGAAGUCCCAGGGUUCAUUGUGCUUUCAGACUGUCUUCUACCUGUGAUCGUCUGUGGAGUGCUACGAGACAUACAACACACAACUAACACACACAGACACUAAUAUACACCACAGUACUCUUAAUUUUGAACCUCAAUGCUGAAAUGUAUAUAAAAUGCACAAAGCAAACAGACGCCUGCUAACACUCAGUCAGAACACACAGUUCACACAGGUUACGUAUCCAUACACCCCACAGCUUGGUAUGACCAUAGCGUGUAUGGAAAAGGAUGUUUAGUACAACUAAGAGAACUCAGACCACGUGUAGGAAAGGCACCGAUAAAAAAUGCUGAUAUAUCAGUUCAACAGACUCUUAACAUGUCUAACUACGUGACAAAUAUAGAGGGAUUGAUGUUUCAUAAUAAAAAAAGAAAGAAAAUUAAAAAAAAAGAUGGCUAAAUGAGUAGGUUAGAAAGAGUUUGGAAAGGAUCUGAAUGAGCUGUAUAUAGUUAGUUUACAAAGAACAGCAUAAAAAAAAAAAGAAAACGUGCAAAAAGAAAACUACUUUAGAUAAAAACACUGAACAGAACACUGCGACAUAAUUAUUAUUAUUAUCAUUAUUAUUCUUAUUAUUAAUACAACUAGUGACAUCAUCAUUCUUCAUGAAAAAGCUAUUACAUUCCAAAUUGUAAAAUGGGGGGGGAAAAAAUCACAAACCUAUUUUAAAUUUUUACUUAGAUUUUAGGUGAAACGUGGGGAGAAGGGAGGGAGGGGGGGGUGCACUUUUACUCGGGAGGUUUUAAUAAUUGAGCUAUUUUUUAAUUUAUUUAUUUACUAAUUUAACAAUUAUUUUGUUUAUGGGGAGAAACCGUUUGAGUGGGAAUGCAAUAUUUUGGUUUUAGGAUUUUCUAGAGAAAAACUUUUCAGAGCCUGUUUCUGUCAGACUCUUACAAUCGAGUAACUAUAUUGUAUCUAUUAACUAUUACAGCAAUUAUAUUUAUUUCAUAUUUAUUGAAUCCUGUUUUUGAUCCACUCUUUUUAAGUUAAAAAUAAAAGGUAUCAUACUAAA
This is an RNA transcript of Cyprinodon tularosa, 2881 nucleotides long. It is a transcript of the gene named CUGBP Elav-like family member 3, with no coding region annotated. The transcript has 16 exons. NCBI's taxonomy places the organism in Eukaryota, Metazoa, Chordata, Actinopteri, Cyprinodontiformes, Cyprinodontidae. The record is from RefSeq and is a predicted model, not a curated record.